AGCAAUAUUGAUGGUAGCAAUCGACUUUUUACUACCAUAGUAGCAGUAGCUGUUGUUGUCACAGGCACCAUUAAUUAUCAUGAUCAUCGUGGGUCCUCUCCAGGAGGGCUGACCUCGGUGGUCUGCUAUAUGAAAGAGCUUCAGUAAUCAUGAUCCAUCAUGGGAAAAAGAAGUUAUCAGGCAAGAGGCUGUGAGGGGAACAAUUAUAUGGAUGGAAAACAUCUUCAUUAUCAAAGAAACAGACUUGGGAAGGGGAUGUGCUGGCAUCACACCUACAAAGACGAGCAGGGAGGGGAACAGGACGAGGUAGAGCUGAAGAAAUGGGGCUGCAGAAGUUGAAUUUGGCCCGAGUGGCCAGGCAGUCCCAGGCGCCAUUCACAGGUUGUGGACAAUUAGCAGAUGUUUCUUUUUCCAGUGUGGAAGCUGAGGAAUGGAACAAGAUGGCGGCAUGAGCAGAGACUUCUAAGAACCUGCUGAUUUUACAAAUAUGGCAGCUAUGCCUCAGCAAAUUAUAAGCAAUAAUGAAUUAGUUAAUUUUCUUCAGUGAAAACUGCUAUG
Molecule: long non-coding RNA, 558 nt
Organism: Neofelis nebulosa (Clouded leopard)
Lineage: Eukaryota; Metazoa; Chordata; Mammalia; Carnivora; Felidae
Exons: 4
Source: RefSeq, a predicted model, not a curated record